AUCACUCCUUUGUAUAUAUGAAGAUGAAAAUUCCUUGAAAUAAUUAUCCAGAAUUUCUUUAAAAGCAUUCCUCAAUGGUUUUAUGGGUGCUGUAUUUGAAGAAGAUUAAAAUAGAAACUUUAUUUUAAAGCUAUGACUCCAUCUCUUAGAAUGCAGCGUCUCUGAGAAAGGAACUUCUAAACUGACUUCUGCUUUGGGCUAAAAUAUUUACCCAUAUAAGCCAAUGAUAGUAUAGAGAUUUAACAGUAUUUAAAUUUGGGCCAUAGAUGAAAAUGAAUUCUACUUUUGACUAGUAACUAUUCUUGAUCCAUCCUUUGCUUUUGUUUGAGAGAAUAUUAUCUCUAUUUGAGAACAACAUGGAAGGCAUUGAAACUAGUUUUCCACAAAGGCCAGAGGACAAAAAUAUUUAUUUCCUUAGUUGAUUCCUUAUCAGUUGACCUGGUCGCACCUUUAAUUUAAUUGAUAUUAUUAUUACGUUUGCCUUGCAAGUUCUCAGAUAUCUCCAACCUUUUGUGUUGUCAUUCAUCGACUACGGGAAUAUUCUCAAUGAAAUGUCCUUGAUGGUCUCUCUGGUUCUUAUUCUAGUCAUGAAAAGGAAAAGACAAAAAGAUAGCAAAUCUUAAAACUAGUCAUCGGCCGGGUGUGGUGGCUCACGCCUGUAAUCCCAGCACUUUGGGAGGCCGAGGCGGGUGGAUCACUUGAGCUCAGGAGUUUCAGCCCAGCCUGGGCAACAUGGUUGAAACCCUGUCUCUAUCAAAAAUGCAAAAACUUAGCCGGGUUUGGUGGUGCAUAUCUGUGGUCUCAGCUACUUGUGAGGCUGAAAUGGGAGAAUCUCUUGAGUGGCGGGGGUUGUGGGGGAGGUUGCAGUGAGCCUAGAUCACGCCACUGCACUCCAGCCUGGGUGACAGAGUGAGAUUCCAUCUCAAAAAAAUUUUUUAAAAUAAAUAAAUAAAAACAUUUUCAUUCUUUUUAUCUUAAAACUUGGAAGAAACAUUAGAUACAAUAAUACUUUCAUUAGUCAAUUAGAGAAAACUUUAAGUAAUAGGCUUUGACUAUUCAGUAGUAGUGAAAAGUAAAACAAAUAUUGAACUCUAAAGAAAAAUGUUAUUUACAGAAAUCUAUAAAAUAAACUUUAAAAUGUAUUUACUUAUUAUAUAUCAGUUCUAACCUUAAUUACAAAAUCAAUGCAGAGCACCAUUUCAAUGAUAUAUUAUAACUAAAGAGAACUGAUCAUAAACAACUGUUACAUUAUCCAAAAAUAUUUUCAGUAAUUCAAACAUGCAACUUGAAUAGUUGUUGAGUGACACAAACUUGAAGUAACUAAAAUUAUUUUUUUAAAUGCACUGGCUCUUUUGACAUGUAAAUACAGAAAUAGUCUCAUAUUCAAGGAUGGAACAAAUACACAAAAAUGGAAUUUCAUGGACUCUCAACACUAGUUUGUGACCUCUGAAAUGAGAGACCAUAUUUUAUUAUUAUUUUUAUUUAUUUCAUCUCUUGUUAUUCAAAACUAUGAAUUGAGUGUAUUUUUUGCAGAAAAUUAUACUCAUCAUUUAUGAUGCUCAGAUUAAAUAAUUACUUUUUUGUUUUGUUUUGUUUUGCUUUUUAAGACAUAGUCUUGCUCUGUCUCCCAGGCUGGAGUGCAGUGGCCUGAUCUCAGCUCACUGCAACCUCCGCCUCCUGGGUUCAAGAGAUUCUCCUGUCUCAGCCUCCUGAGGGACUAUAGUCAUGUGCCACCACACCCGGCUAAUUUUUGUAUUUUUAGUAGAAACGGGGUUUCGCCAUUUUGACCAGGCUGUUCUCAAACUCCUGACCUCAGGUGAUCCACCUGCCUCAGCCUCCCAAAGUGCUGGGAUUACAGGCGUGAGCCAGCGCACCUGGCCAAAUAAUUAGUUUUUUUACACAAAUUUAAUUAUCCAAAGAAACUGCUGAGUUAUCUUCCAGAUUGUUAUCAUGACUGUGUUUACAUGAUACCAAAACAUAUGGAGGCAAAAUAGAAUUUUUUACUACAUAUAGGGAUAUUUUGCUGACCUGACAGAAUUAUUUGACUACAUAAAGACACAGAAUUUAGUACUACAGAAUGAUAUUGUAAAUAGUUUCAUUUUCGAUAGAAAAAAGAGUUUUACAUGCUAUAUAAAGUUGUCAUUAUCUGAAUCUAGAAUAACUGAUAACAGUUAACAACAGAAUUCCACACAGUGCUGCAAUUCAAUUUUACAUUUAUACAUUUUAGUUGUGUAUAAAGACAUACACUUAUUUAUUUCAAAAUGCACACAAAUUAAAGAAAUGAGAGGGAAUGUACACUUAAAUCUUUUUAGGUGUCUGAACUGAAAGAUAGAUGUCUAGAAGUUAAUAUACCUAAUUGUGUGUCUAGAGGAAAUGUCAUAUUAAUUUGAUGUUUAAGCAGUUCUAAUGUAUUGGUAUUAAAAUGGGUUAGUGUAUGUGUGAGCACAGAUAUGUUUGCAUAUAUGUGUGCAUAUUUAUGUUUCUCAAAUUUCUAGCAGAAAAAAGUAAUAUAAACUUCAAACUAAAGAAAGCUUGUUAAAAGAUUUUGCAUCUACAUUUACAAUGUUAUUGUCCCCUUUUACACCAUUAUGCCUCGUUUCUAAACUAUAAUCAUCCAGUAUCCCUGAUAUCAUCCCAUAUAUAAUCUUUCAUUUAGAAAAUCCUUGUCAUAUCCAGUACAUUCUGUAUGUGUCCUCAUGUUUUUUUCUUUUAAAAAAAUUAUUUGUCUGUUUCCCAAAUGAUCACAGAUCCAGUAAUGUUAAAGUACAUAUAAAAAAUUAAAUUGAUUUUUGUUAUCUAAGUACUAGUACAGAUUCUGCUUCUCUUGCACACACACACAAAUAAAGACAAAUUUGCUUUCCAUAAUAGCCAACUUCUGCCCAGUUGUUAUAACUAAAAUAUAUCCAAGUAAAAGUCCAUUAAAACAAUCCUCUUUAUUUUGCAUUGUUACAUUACUUAAUUUUAAUAAUUAUGAAAAUAAAAAGAAAGAAGUAGUUCUCUGUUAGUCUUCUGUACAAUGUCAGAUUUGCUGUUUCAUGUGUCUUCAACUUUAUGGGUUUAAUUUAUGUCUUCAUCAAAUGGCUAUGGUAUGGAUUUACCAUAAUUAUAUACAUGCGUACAUGCCUACCUAUGUAUAUAUAAACAAACAUUUUUGUAAACAGCUCAGUGAGGACUUUGGACUGGCAUAAAUCAUAGGAAUAUGAUUAUGAGGAUACAUCCAAUUUUCAGAUUGGGCAAUGUAUACAGUUUAUUAUCAUUUCUGAUUUUGAGUAGAGUUAGUACUAAGAACAGCAUUGAAGAAAAGCAGUAUAACAUUAAAAUUAAGAAGAUUUAAAAUACAAGAGGAUUCAUAACAGUCACUUUUAAAAUAUUGUUUUGGCUUUCUACUUUGGAGCUGUAAUUUUAAAAAACCAAUGAACAGGUUUUUGUAUGAAUAUGUUAGAAUGACUAAUUAUAGAGCAUCUUUCAACUGGAAUACAUGUAGAUACUAACACCUGGUUGUAUUUGAUGUAAUUUCAGUGCAUACAGUGUGUGUAAUCUGUAUUAAGUGAAAUACUUAUGAAUAAAGUUGUUUCUGCAUUGCAAUAACACAUCUUCUGAUAUUUUUUGAAGUGCUUCUUGUCAGCAGGGGCUACUAGUUUCAUUAACAUCAUCAAGGAUCCUAAAAUAUUUUUAG
This 3676-nucleotide long non-coding RNA is filed under the name Homo sapiens (human). RNAcentral's name for it is "HSALNT0409206". Lineage: Eukaryota; Metazoa; Chordata; Mammalia; Primates; Hominidae. The record is from RNAcentral.